This is a long non-coding RNA of Esox lucius (northern pike), 7652 nucleotides long. NCBI's taxonomy places the organism in Eukaryota, Metazoa, Chordata, Actinopteri, Esociformes, Esocidae. The record is from Ensembl.
AUUAAGACAACUGAAAUAUUAUCUAUAUAUUAUCUAACUAUCUUUAUAUGCGAUUAUUAUUAUUUUUUUUACCUGAUUCUCUUUGGUGGCGAAUAUCAAAAUUGUAAAUGCACACUGUCCAAAAAGCUUGAGUGUAAAUUUUUGGAGACAUGUCUCCUAAACCUGGUAUUUUCCCAACCAUUAAGCCUACAGGAACGGUUAGUUAGCUGCAAUAGCUAGCUACAUACGUCAUAAAGACGAUUUAGCUGAAAAUCUAGGGAACCCUUAGUCAGCAACACCAGCUUGCUACCUAAGUCAUAAUGACGACUCAGCAGAAAAUAUAGCUUACGUAAUGGAGGACUACCGCUCAGCCAAUCAGGGCACACCUGUUCCUAUAUAAGUGAGUGCACCCUUCUUCAUUCUGACUCAGUGCCUCAGGUGUUGCGUCUCACGUGGGAUUUGGUGGUAUGGGUUUGAUAGGCGUGGAUUCGGCUGAGACCUGGGUCUCCGACUGUUCAGCCCCCAGAUGUAUUGUCUCUUGGUUGUAAUACGCUGCGGCGAUUUUUACUUUUCCAUAAAAUACAUUUUGUGUCUCAGCCCCUUGCGACUGAGUCUGUGGUGCCACUCCCGUUUCCUGAUAGGAAUAGCUUAGCCCUUCCUCUAGUGGCUUGUGUCGCGCUGGUUAGAACUCUGUUGCCGCUCAGGCCUCAUUGGAUAUGAGCAGCGGCAUAUGUGAAGAGACUCAUGUCUAUCACUUGCCCUGUAGGGUUAGGAACUAACGCCGGUGUCACCAUGCUGUCGUUCUCUUUUAGAAAGAGUAACGAGAUCAAGGGCGCGUACGAUAUUGUCUACUGUUCAGGACAUUGUGUCUACAACUGCCUCGGUUCACAUCUGUUCGACUGGGAAAGAGAACCCCGUGUAUAGGGCUAUACAGUUGCCAUCGCGGCUUCCGGUGUUGGCUCAGAGUUUUCGUCGCCGGUGUGGGUUCGCAGGGGUCUCGUCGAGGGAAUUGGCUUUGACCGGGCUGUGUGCGUUCUUCUAUUACAGAACCCUCCCGAAUACGGAAUGACAUCGCGCUUCCGUCCUCUGUGAUUCUCGUGUGGCUGAUGCGAUCACUGCUAGCCCUUCCUUAAAAUAGUUUAGUCCUUCCUCUGGUGAUUCGUAUCGCGCGGGUUUUGACUAACGGUGGAUGUCCACUGGUCCCGCGGAUACAAAUAAUUGUCUAUGAACAGCAUCAUGGCUUUAUUGACGGUUGCGCAAAGCAUCUCGGGAAGGUAACGCGGCCGUUUGAGCCAUAUUAUGUCUAUGGUUUGAGCUGUCUAUUCGCCUUAUUCACCCACGUCACUUCAUUUAAACCAAAACGAGGCUGUGGGGUACGGAAGUAACGUUGUCUCGCCCAUCUGUAGACUAUAAAUCCUAUACAGGUCAAACCUUCCAUCGUUUCCCCAAAGAUCAUGUACUUUGCCGUGAAUGGAUUUAUAAAAUAAGAAGAGAUCCCGGUCGCCAUUUCAAGGUAAGAUAUUAACAUUAGUUUACAAUGCUAACAUUAGCCUUAUUUACGUUAACUGUCAUAGAGAUAGCUAGCUAAACCUUCUGGCUAAAUAGACAUGACUUGAUUAGCCACGAACCGGUCCUUUUUAAGUUAUAACAAGCGAAGGGCUGAUUUGGGGGUAACGUUAAGCAAGUUGUUGCUCUUUUUACUAGCCUGGGCAGCUAACGUCCUGCAGCCGUGACUUACAGCAAAAUAUAAACAAGUGAUCUGUGCAUGUUUAUGAUAAUAACCAUCUAGACCAUGUUACGCACACAACUACUAUAAACAGUAACAUCCAUUUUACUGGGUUUGUGCAUCCCAGUAGACGACAUUACUGAUUCGUUUUUAGCAUCUGUGUUACCUGUGAGACCUGAAUAGUACCUUCUCCAACCCUACGUAACAUCCCUCCGUAACAUCGCUAUCACGUCCUGUUGUUUUAUCUAGCUAACAAGCUAACUUUAAAAGUAACGUUAACUAAUGUUGAUUUCAGAAAAAAAGCUGUGAUCGUCUGUGCAUUACCUUCCACGUCGUGCACAUAUCCCUCAAACCAGUUGCUGUAUCAUUUUAGCAAAACAGCCCGGGGAAUAAUGCAGUCCUUAUUGGCCCAUUUUUCGACAUAGUCCACUGUUAUUUCGGGAAGACAUGAAAGAUUUGAUGUCCACACAGGUAUCAUGAUGACAGACGCCCGCUGCUGCGCUCUGUCAAUGAACUUCCGGUUUAGAGUGUACCCCCUAGCCUCGUUUUGGAUUUCAAGAUGGACGGUGAAUAAGGUCAAUAAGCAGCCAUUGUUUCUGUCAUUUAUGGUGUUUGGACAUGUGAAUUUUUUUUUUUGAGUUUUUUUAUUAGGUUUUUCCGGCGCCUGGCAUUUUCAUUCGGAGACGGAUGCGCGGCCUGCCGGGCUGGUUGGAGGUAGAUGGCCGUGGUAACGUAUGGAAGUUGCUGAAGGCCUAAUGAGAAGUUUUUUGGAAGGCGUAGGCUACGGUACACAGGAACACGCAGGAACGCUGGACCGCCUGGGGGAGGGGUGCGGACGGUCAGACAGGAGACGCUCCAGAGGGAGCAUCGACCGGUGAGAUCAUUCCUUAAUACAGCUUUCAUAUGCUUUAGUAUGUGGUUGGUUUUUGUAUGUCAGAUUUGAUGGUUUUGUGGAAGUUGAUAGAUGGAUUUGAGAAAGUAUGGUAAAUGGAAGUUAUUUGAGGUGUUUUGGUUAUAGCGCCUGUAGUUAGGAAAAUAACCAUUCCCAUGCAGCUACCCUAUUGUGUUGCGAUUAGUGCUGGAUCAUAAGCAGUUAGACUGCGGCGGUUGGACUGCGGCAGUUGGAUUGCGAUAUGGAGUAUAGCGUGCUCCUGUAUAUAAUGGUUUUGGAUGUUGAAUUGGGAAUAUGUUUGGUUGUGGUUGGCCUAGUAAAUGCACUUGUCCAUUUUGGUAUUCCCUGUGCACGAGGGAUCCGAUUGGCUGCAUUGAGUAUUCCUUGAGAGAAUAUUUGAUCUCGUUUACCGAGGUUGGUGUUAACUAGUAAGUUUUGUAAUCGCAAUGUUUUGUCUUGUUAGGUGUACAUUUGGGUGAACACUUACAUGCCGUUGUUAAUAUGGUUAUUAUGCAAGGCCUACUUUUUCGCCUUUUGCUUAGUGUGGUAUCUGCGAAAUUGAACUUUGCCUUCUAGUGUUGUGCUGGUGGCUGGCGUUCGCAUGCUAAUUUAGGAUUGUUUACGACAAUAUAGUCCUACAUUUAAUUAGAGGGUUAGCUUGGAAAUUGGUAUGAUGAUGAUUCUCUGAUGUAGUAAAAUAUGGUCUUGUGGUUUCGUAAUGAGGGGUUAAAAUAAUGUUUUCUCUCCGUGUAUGGAGUAGAAUGGCCGAAGUUUUUGAUAUUAAGAUAACAUGCUGUUUUCCAUGAAGACUGGAUUCAGCCAAUAUACUCAUAGCCUGCAAAAUAGGGUAAAAUGACCACAGCCUGUUUAUUCCCCGAAUAAAUAACCCAUAGGAUGUCCUAUUUUUUUAAAUGUUCAAUUGGAUUUGGUUAAUGAUUUACUGUCACUUUGUUUGUAUUUACAAUGAUACCUGGGAUAAUACUUGUGUUCUCAGACCUGUGCCUGAUGCUCGUUACUGGCUGGUGAACUGACCAGUGUUUAAGGCCUACGUUGAGUUUCCUUUGGAUUGCUUAUUGUACCUUGAUUUUAGUGACGUCAUACAUCUGUUUUCUGUCUGCAUUGCCAUUAAGAGUUUCUUAAUUUCCACCCUAAUGUUGAGUUGUUGUAUAGAUAAUGAUAAGCACAUUUUUACAAACUGCGAAAAUAUUACAUGGGUUGGACACUAAAUCUAAAAUCUCCAGUUAACAAAGGAUGUCGGCUGAAUUGAUAGGAUAGUCUGAGGACCAUAAACAAACAUUUGGCCUUUUCAAUGACUCACCUUAAGGCUCAGCUCUUUCUUCACCACGACAGACCGAUACAUUGACCGCAUUACUGCAGAAGCUGCACCGAUCCGUCUGUCAAUCUCCCGUUCCAUCCUUACCUCACUCGUGAACAAGACCCCUAGAAAACUCCUCCACUUGAGGCAAGCACUCUUCACCAACCUGAAGUGGGCAAGCCACCCUUUUCCGACUGAGGACCAUGGCCUCGGAUUUGGAGGUACUGAUUCUCAUCCCCACCGCUUCACACUCUGCUGCAAACCGUCCCAGCGCAUGCUGAAGGUCCUGGUUUGAAGGGGCCAACACGACAACAUCAUCCGCAAAGAUGAAAUCGUGUGGUCCCCAAACCUGACACCCUCCGGCCCCUGGCUGCGCCUAGAAAUUCUGUCCAUAAAAAUUAUGAACAGAACUGGUGACAAAGGGCAGCCCUGCCGGAGUCCAACAUGCACUGGGAACAAGUCUGACUUACUGCCGGCAAUGCGGACCAAGCUCCUACUUCGGUCGUAUAGGGCCCUGACAGCCCUUAGCAAAGGACCCAGGACCCCAUAUUCCCGAAGCACCCUCCACAGGACGCCGCGAGGGACACAGUCGAAUGCCUUCUCCAAAUCCACAAAACACAUGUGGACUGGUUGGGCAAACUCCCAUGAACCCUCCAACACCCCGUAGAGGGUAUAGAGCUGGUCCAGUGUUCCACGGCCCGGACGAAAACCACACUGUUCCUCCUGAAUCCGAGGUUAUACUAUCGGCCGUAUUCUCUCCAGAACCCUGGCAUAUCAAAAUGCUCAUUUUGAUAUGCUAAUUUGGGAGUUGUUUCAAUAUGCUUACUUCACACGAGCGACUGUGUGGUAGUCUUUUAUUUCCUUUAUGGAUGUUUAUUUUUAUAUGUGGGUGUUAUCAUUUUCACAUUUGCGACGUUUUACUGGAUGAAUGUAGAUUCCUCCCAACUAUCGAUUUUUUUUUUUUUUUCUCUUUUUUUUUUUCUCAUGUCCGUCCUGUAAUGGUUCUGCUUUCACUUGGAGUCAUUUUCCGUUGACUCUGUCGUGAAAGCAGGGCGGGAUUGUAUGAAAUGAUUAUCUAUGAUGAAAAAUCAUUAAUUCAAAGCGAAUUAAACAGGUAUUUAAAGAGUUGCGUGAAGAAUUUAGUUUUUCUGUUUCCAAAAGUUAUAGCAGAAAAUUGGCAUCUGUUAAAAUCAACAUCCCUUCACAGUGUCUAAUUGGGUUUUUUGAGAAGUUUGUUUUAUACCAAAUCUAACAUGGUUAUGGUUGAGUGGAAUACAUCUUACCAUUUUGAAAUGGUUUAGCUAAGAAAUAACUAAUUUGAUGGGAGUGUUACUGUUCAGUUUGUUUAAUAUUUGAUUAGAAGUAAUCAUAUUAAUCUCAUGCAUUAUGGAAUAAGUGGGUAAAAAUGUGCAGGGAGUUUGCUAAAUUUUGCCAUGUUUUAAUUGAUACUGAGAAAGUAAUUCUGAGAGGUACAGACCCCCUGGAGCACUCCACUCACUGACAAAAAAAACGGUUUGAGAUGGAUUUUAACUUGUUUGGACUGUUAAUGGUUAACAAAUGCUUCUGAGGUGUAAGGUUGCUUGCAAUUGUCUGGCCUCAAGAUAACACCACUCUGUCCUAUGAGAUUGGAUCUGUUCUUAGGUUAAUAGACCACCCCCCACUCCAGGGAGAGCCCUGGGGUGAUAAGACAAAAAGGGGGGGGGGUCAUGAUUUAUGUCAGGAUUAAAGAGUGUCUUUGAAGAAGAGACUUUGAGACAUUCACACUGAGUUUUCAUCUUGUGAAGAAAAUUGGCUAAAUAAGUUAGCUGACCCUCAAGAUGGUGUGACAUGUUUUGAUUUGAAAUUAGGUAUUUGAUCAUUUAUGUGAAACAAUGGUGAAUUUGAUUGUAGUUCCGAUACAACACAAUCAGAUGUAAUUUAUAUAGCAACUGUGAUCUGGUUGGAUGGUGAACUGAGAGCACCAGAGAUGUUAAUGUUUUAACAAUACUGUUAUUGAUUACAACUGUUAGGGUUGAGUGUUUGAUAGUGUUUGGUUCUAAUGUAUCAGCGAGAUACAACAAGCUAACGUAAUGGACAUAUUUGUGGUGAUGUACUGUGCAGUUGCAACUAAUCUUCUCAAGGAUAAUUCACACUUCAGGUACAGGACACUUGAAAGCGAUUCAGCAAUAGAGGGCUUACAAGGACAACUGUGAGGUGGCUGAGAUGAGAUGGAUCUCACAGACACACAGACAGACUGUCCUACAGCGGAGAGGAGUCUACUCUGGGACACUGCACGUCUAGGUGCCGCACGUCUACAGGAUGCUGGGCUCCUGUGAGCCGGACUGAUUCGAGUCCUGACGAUUCUGCAAUGUGAUGGAGAAGGCAACCACUGGCCGAGAGGAUGGAGGCGAAAGAAAGCUCCGGUUCUGGACAACGUUUACGGGGACGCGGAAAGAUCUACUGCACGACAUCAUGCUACGCUGAUUGGGUCCAUACCAGGUAACAUCUCAUCUGCUGUCCAGGUAGCUGAGAGAGGAGCCUGGGGUUGACGACACACGCUAAAGGAGGGCUUCAGUGUUUCAAGAUUAGGCACAGUGAAUUGAAGUCACUGAGGGAAAAGUGAAUUUUCUGGUGCUAGUAACCAUCACUUCCGACCCGGCCUGCAGCUAUAGAGCCCUUGGAUAAAACUGGUCAUCUUGGCAUUCACAAAGGAGAACACACGAUUCUCCUGACCUGGCUGAUGAAGCAGCUAGAAUGAAGACAACUAGAGCUGUGUCAUGGUAACCUGCAUUUGAGCUAUGAAGGACAACACCUUGGAAUAUACAUCUGACUUUUACGUUCUGUUACACCGGCCUGCCAAGAAAUGGUUCAUAACUGACUGUCUGACGUUUGGAGGAGCAGAACUUUGGAAGUACAUCUAAAUGGAACCAUGGAGAGGGCUUUUCAGUAAAUCAAGCAAUUGGCCUGAGAGGACUUUGUACCAGUGACAAAUUGAAGGAUCUAUACAGUGAUGGGUGUUUAUAUACCCACUUGUCGAUGCUACAUAUCCCAUAAUGUCAGUAUGUGUCACCUGAAAUGUUUUCCUUUGACCAAUUAUUUUAACACAAAAAGGUUUUGCUGUACUAUUAUAGUUUUGUAUAAUGAAAAUGUGUUCUCUAAGUAUAAGGGUAAUGAUAUCAUGUUGUUAAAGAGUACUGUUUUGUUGCAUCCUAAUGAGUAAACUGUUUAAGGAUUGAUACCAAGGGUUGAUUUGGUAUCAAGAGAUGGAUUGUUAUGGAAAUGUCUUGAACUGCAUUCUUAUUGAUUCAUGUAUUGAGUCCCCAUGUUUAGAUAAGAAAAGGAAUGUCGGUUGUGCUGUGGUAAAGGAAGUAUGAGGUGCUGAGGUAAACGUAAACCUAUAGCAGGAUGGGGGUAGAUACAUAACAAUGGGUUUUAGGACAGGAUUGAGGAAGAUACCUUCUGUUGUGUAAGAUGGAUAAGGAACAUGUGGUGUCUGUGGUAUGACCAUGAAGAUUCUUAAUCUCCACCCAUUUCUCUAUAAGUAUCGAAUGUAUUUUCAAAUGUUUAGAGACUCCUAGGAUGAUUGUUUGUAAGCGUUUGAAGCGUCUCUAUAUUUGCAAAUAAAUAAACUUAAUUAUGCCAAGAGAAAUGUCUCUGUACUUCCUCCUUUAAGAGUUCUGAUCAAUGAAAUUGCCAUCACAUGGCACACUUUGUAGACACUAUUUGCAAAACAUUUUCAAAAAACUCAAAGCUGUAGAUUG